RNAcentral lists this ribosomal RNA (421 nucleotides) under uncultured Methanospirillum sp. RNAcentral describes it as "bacterial SSU rRNA". It matches the Rfam family "Archaeal small subunit ribosomal RNA", at positions 322 to 747 of the family's 1478-position model. Lineage: Archaea; Methanobacteriati; Methanobacteriota; Methanomicrobia; Methanomicrobiales; Methanospirillaceae. The record is from RNAcentral.
CCUACGGGGGGCAGCAGGCGCGAAAACUUUACCAUGCGGGCAACCGUGAUAAGGAAACCCCGAGUGCCAGCACAGGCUGGCUGUCCGCCAGUUUAAACAACUGGCGAAGAAAGGGCCGGGCAAGACCGGUGCCAGCCGCCGCGGUAAUACCGGCGGCUCGAGUGGUGGCCGCUAUUACUGGGCUUAAAGGGUCCGUAGCUUGAUAAUAGGGUCCCUUGAGAAAUCCGCCGGCUUAACUGGCGGGCGUUCAGGGGAAACUUGUUUUCUAGGGACCGGGAGAGGUGAGGGGUACUGCCGGGGUAGGAGUGAAAUCCUGUAAUCCCGGUGGGACCACCUAUGGCGAAGGCAUCUCACCAGAACGGGUCCGACAGUGAGGGACGAAAGCUGGGGGAGCAAACCGGAUUAGAUACCCGCGUAGUCC